This 465-nucleotide ribosomal RNA is filed under the name Vreelandella stevensii. RNAcentral's name for it is "partial 16S ribosomal RNA". It matches the Rfam family "Bacterial small subunit ribosomal RNA", at positions 338 to 795 of the family's 1533-position model. Lineage: Bacteria; Pseudomonadati; Pseudomonadota; Gammaproteobacteria; Oceanospirillales; Halomonadaceae. The record is from RNAcentral.
CCUACGGGUGGCAGCAGUGGGGAAUAUUGGACAAUGGGGGCAACCCUGAUCCAGCCAUGCCGCGUGUGUGAAGAAGGCCCUCGGGUUGUAAAGCACUUUCAGUGAGGAAGAACGCCUGGUGGUUAAUACCCAUCAGGAAAGACAUCACUCACAGAAGAAGCACCGGCUAACUCCGUGCCAGCAGCCGCGGUAAUACGGAGGGUGCGAGCGUUAAUCGGAAUUACUGGGCGUAAAGCGCGCGUAGGGGGCUUGAUAAGCCGGUUGGGAAAGCCCCGGGCUCAACCUGUGAACGGCAUCCGGAACUGUCAAGCUCGAGUGCAGGAGAGGAAGGUAGAAUUCCCGGUGUAGCGGUGAAAUGCGUAGAGAUCGGGAGGAAUACCAGUGGCGAAGGCGGCCUUCUGGACUGACACUGACACUGAGGUGCGAAAGCGUGGGUAGCAAACAGGAUUAGAUACCCCAGUAGUC